Molecule: long non-coding RNA, 640 nt
Organism: Nicotiana attenuata
Lineage: Eukaryota; Viridiplantae; Streptophyta; Magnoliopsida; Solanales; Solanaceae
Exons: 4
Source: RefSeq, a predicted model, not a curated record
UCUCUCUCUCUCUCUUAUCCAAAUUUGUAACAUAAACACUGCAAUGAGGGUUCUUAGCCAUGGGUAGAAUUUAGCUUUGUAAAAUUAAAUACCCAAUAGAUUCACAAAGUAGCAGAAUCGUGGGGUCUCAAAAUCAGUCAGAAAUCAAUAGUUGAGAUUUUGCAAAGUGUAUUUGCAGAGACAAAAAGGUUGAGAUCUCUUUCUACCAUCAGCAUUCUCCGGAAAAGAUCGAUUCCUUGAGCGUGUUCACACAAUUAGUUUCUCAGUUAGCUUCAAUCGCGAGAAAUUAUUUUCCCAAAAGGCACACUAUGAGAAAUCGCUAGCUGAAGAAGUUACCAACAUCUGCUUGGAAAUGCCACCAGUCCAACAUGCCAUGUACAGACUUUAAAAGAAGACAACAGGCCACCCACAUCCAAUGCAUUGCAGACAGUUCUUGUGGCCACUCAUAAGCAGCAACAAAGAAAAUGAGGUGGAGAAAAUGAAGAAAGGGAAGAUCAAAGGAAUGAAGAUCCUGCUUAAGAAGAUUUUUUGAUUGUUGCUGAAACUCUAAAUGUUCUAGGAAUCGUUUGUUAUCAAACAUUUUGAAACUUCUUUAACUUUUGGAUUGUAAAACUUAUAUACUUGGUUCUUAACUUUUGGA